Molecule: ribosomal RNA, 256 nt
Filed under: Escherichia coli
Lineage: Bacteria; Pseudomonadati; Pseudomonadota; Gammaproteobacteria; Enterobacterales; Enterobacteriaceae
Description: partial 23S ribosomal RNA
Rfam family: Bacterial large subunit ribosomal RNA
Source: RNAcentral
AAUGGGUCAGCGACUUAUAUUCUGUAGCAAGGUUAACCGAAUAGGGGAGCCGAAGGGAAACCGAGUCUUAACUGGGCGUUAAGUUGCAGGGUAUAGACCCGAAACCCGGUGAUCUAGCCAUGGGCAGGUUGAAGGUUGGGUAACACUAACUGGAGGACCGAACCGACUAAUGUUGAAAAAUUAGCGGAUGACUUGUGGCUGGGGGUGAAAGGCCAAUCAAACCGGGAGAUAGCUGGUUCUCCCCGAAAGCUAUUUA